CUUCCAGCUUCUGGUGUCGGCUGUUCCUCCUUGGUUUGUGGCUGCAUCACUCUGGUUUUUAAUGCCAGCAUCUUGAAAUGUGUCAGCUCUGUGGUCACAUCACCUUCUUUUCUGACAUGACAGGCU
Long non-coding RNA from Herpailurus yagouaroundi (jaguarundi), 126 nucleotides. RefSeq lists it as uncharacterized. Lineage: Eukaryota; Metazoa; Chordata; Mammalia; Carnivora; Felidae. The record is from RefSeq and is a predicted model, not a curated record. The transcript is spliced from 3 exons.